GGGCCCGCACAAGCGGUGGAGCAUGUGGUUCAAUUCGACGCAACGCGAAGAACCUUACCUGGGCUAGACAACGGUGGACCGUCCUAGAAAUAGGAUUUUCCCUUCGGGGACUGCCGGUUCAGGUGCUGCAUGGCUGUCGUCAGCUCGUGCCGUGAGGUGUUGGGUUAAGUCCCGCAACGAGCGCAACCCUCGUCUUUAGUUGCCACCAUUCAGUUGGGCACUCUAGGGAGACUGCCGGCGUUAAGCCGGAGGAAGGUGGGGACGACGUCAAGUCAUCAUGGCCCUUAUGUCCAGGGCCACACACGUGCUACAAUGGGCGGUACAAAGGGUCGCAAACCCGCGAGGGGGAGCCAAUCCCAAAAAGCCGCUCUCAGUUCGGAUUGGAGUCUGCAACUCGACUCCAUGAAGUUGGAAUCGCUAGUAAUCGCGGAUCAGCACGCCGCGGUGAAUACGUUCCCGGGCCUU
This 465-nucleotide ribosomal RNA is filed under the name uncultured bacterium. RNAcentral describes it as "bacterial SSU rRNA". It matches the Rfam family "Bacterial small subunit ribosomal RNA", at positions 917 to 1382 of the family's 1533-position model. The record is from RNAcentral.